UACGGAGGAGGCAAGCGUUAUCCGGAAUUAUUGGGCGUAAAGCGUCCGUAGGUGGCUAGUCAAGUCUGCGGUCAAAGACUGGGGCUUAACCCUGGAAAGGCCGUGGAAACUGACGAGCUAGAGUGCAGUAGGGGUAGAGGGAAUUCCCGGUGUAGCGGUGAAAUGCGUAGAGCUCGGGAAGAACAUCGGUGGCGAAAGCGCUCUACUGGACUGCAACUGACACUCAGGGACGAAAGCUAGGGGAGCGAAAGGG
This 253-nucleotide ribosomal RNA is filed under the name uncultured bacterium. RNAcentral's name for it is "partial 16S ribosomal RNA". It matches the Rfam family "Bacterial small subunit ribosomal RNA", at positions 524 to 776 of the family's 1533-position model. The record is from RNAcentral.